GGGAAAAUCCGCCAGGGUUAUGCCUUUCCAACACCAACAAUAAAAUACAAGUCAUUGGAUUUUCAAAUGGAAGAAAAGGGACAAAUUGGCAAUGAAGUUCACACGAUCCAGAAACACAAAUUCCAAUCUCGCACUAUUCUCCUCAAACAUUGAAUUACCAGAACAAACAAACCUCUGCCCUGUCUAAUAAAUGUAAUAACCCCUAUGCGACAAGUGUAUAUGCUUCAAGAUCCUAACAGGUCCUAUAUGGGAUGGAACCUUCAAUCAUCGCCACAUCAGGCUUACAUGCACUGGCAACUAGUGUAGCAGAAACACAAAAAUGGCACAGAUCAGGUCAGGUUCUCCCAGAGGGAAAAACUCGAGCAUGAACUUCUCGGGUGCAGGUAUGUAAACUAGAGGCUGCUAACGGUCAAACCACAGGGUUGAAACAAAGCACACAAAUUUCCCAGGCAAUGUAUUCAGGAUUUAGCAAACAUAUAGCGGCCUCUUGAUUGAAUCAGAUCAUCUUACUACACAACAUAUGCCCAAGGAUGCUGGUGAAACUUCGUACUUUGAUCAUUCCAGUCAGAAUCUUUCGACACUUCUUGAUGACAAAAUCAAUGGAAUCACUAAUUUGAGACUCCUUAAUUAUAGAGAAAUUGCACUCUGUUCCCUCUCUUUGGCCAACUUUGCUUGUAUUAGCUUAUCCAAGAUGGGAGGCUCCAGAGGAAUUGGGUCGAGACAACGUUCUGAAGUGCCAACAAUUACCUCAUCGAGCAAAAAGUCAAUGGCUGCUUCAUCUUCAACGGUUUCCUUUAGAGGAGCCCUUAGGAACUGAAUAUCCAACUGAAUUUGCUGAAAACCACUCCGGUUGAAAGUCUGGAGUCUGACAAAUUCUUGCAAACUCUUUAGGCAAAGUUUUACUAUAGUGGUUACCACAGAUUCCUGUGUAAAUUCAGUUUUUGUAAAAAUCUCAACUUUUUGCUUAAACAAUUUUGCUAGGUGGGUUUCCAGAAGCUGGCUCCUGGCCCUUUGAGUAUUUGUCCGACUCAUUUUAUCAUCUCGCAAUGGAUUGCUGCGAGAGGAUGCAGUGCUACCAUUGCUUUCAGAGCGACGAUGCUUGCGAAGAACUCCUUGUGAUAAAACCUGCUUCACCUCAGAACCUAUUGUUUCCAACUCCUGAAGAAGUAAGUCAACAAACAUAUGAACUUCUCUUGGCUCCUUGUGCUUGACCCAGUUUGGAGCUUUAAACCUCUUCUUAAGGAGAACUGAUACUCUCUGAGUUCUCAUAGUUAUAUAAUGGUGUAGAAACUUUUCACCAGCUGACCGAAAGAUUCGACAAAUUUCACCAGGAACAAAAGCAGGCCCAUUUUCAUAGCCUCGUACACCACUGCCAGAGAAAGAAGUAGCUAUUUCCUCAGUAAUCUUUGGGAUGGCAGUUUGUUCAAUAAAAACAGAAAGUUGAGCCAACACCAGGACAAGACCUGCAAGCACUUUGUCAACCACCUUUCCCUCUGUCAAACCUUGUGCUUGACUGACUGAUUUAUUUCUUCCAGAAAGUAAGAGGAAAUGAUCAUCCAGAGCCCUGAAGAAUUCCUGAAAUCCUUCUUGAAUCCAAUCAACAAUCGAGUCUCUCAACUUUAGAAGUAACCCUAAGUUGUCAUCAACAAGAUGGCGCAAGUCCACUAAGACAUCCAUGCUUCCUUUAAGCACUGCAUUUUUGCUGGUUUCCAGGGCAACCUGCAAGGGAUUCUCUUCCACUCCCUCUUUUUGUUUCAUAUGAAUGUUGACAAUGAGGGCAUCUGCUGGUUUGAACAGAACUUAACUUAGAACAUUAAGGUUAUCUAAUGAUAAAAAGAUAACAGAUUAAAAAAAAUAAAAAAAUUAAUUAUGAUUUGUCCUUAGCUUUUUGGUCAAACAAACACAAAUCAUUCCCAAAACAUUUAGUAUGUGUUUAUGCCACUUCAAGAUUCUUCUGUACUGCUAUUAUCCCUUUCCAAAUAACAAACCAUUGUAACAACAGUUAGGAAAUAAAACUUCAGUAAAAUUGUAAUAGUAACCUGAGAUAUCAUGCAGAAGGUGAGAAAAUGUGAUUGCAACAUAUUGCUUGACAACCCGCUGGGCAGCCUGAAACCAACUAGGAUUAUGAGUAUACCAAGUUCCAUUCUUGGAUAUAACAAUAGAUUUCCUCCCAUUUCAGAUAAAGGAUGAAAUACAGAUGGAGAUUGUUAUGGAGUAUAAGAACAAAAUUAAAGGACAACCUCCAAAGAAUAAUCAGGGAGAAAUGCCUCAUUUAAUACUUCAUCCAUCAGAAGCACAUCUCUCCAUAUAACUCCUGCAUUUGGCAAGGCAUUUCAAAAAAUAAGAUGGGAAGCUGCCAAAUGAGAAAGAUCAACAAAUAACAUUUACCAAACUAAAGAUUAAGUUAUCUUUAGAAGGCUUAAGGCAAAACACUUCCAAGAACAAUCAGAAAUAAAAGGUUGAACUCAUUAGAUGAGUGAUAACAUUAACAUUAAAAGUAUCAAGCUUAUUUUUCAUCAACUACAAUAUUCAGCAAAAUGCAACAUAAGUUUAAUAUGAUUAGGGCAUCCACCAUUCCAAUAGCGUCUACCCUAAAAGGACAUCCUUUUGACAUCAUAACAGCAUUGCCUAGGAAGAAAACUUAUUUAUCCAUAUGCAGGCAAGACAAGAACUUCAGUUCCCCACUAUAUUUUUGGUGAGGAAGCUCCAUUUUACAGAGAUCCCAUACAAAAAGAACCCUGAUACUUACAAGGACUGUGAAACCAAGCAGCACGGACAAUGAGUAAAAACAAUGCUAAAGAAGUUUCUUACAGUAUCAGAGCAUUACAUUGCAGGCUAUUUGCAUCACAUAGAAGAAUACUAUAUCACAUAUUAGUUGCAUGAGGAAAGUAAAGAUCACUUACAACAGGUUGUGGAAACAAAAUAUCUCAAAUUCAUGUUCACAAGUGACUUGAGAUGAAUGAAAACAUUGGCAGGAUGAAAAAUUAAAAUUAAUAGAAGACAAACUGAAUAGCUAGUUAACAUAGUAACUAGCAAUUGUACGUUUGUAGUGCAAACGUCAUGAAUCUCAAGAUUAUAUGUUGGAAGAUUCAUAGUACUUACGGAGAAAACCCAAAAACUUUGCAACAGAAAUCUGUUCCUUUAUGUUUUGCUCAGUGAUUUCAAAGUGCUUGGUAAUCAAGUCUUGAGAGAGUUUAAUUAGUUGCUUUUCUGAGUCAGGAAAUAUUACUCGAUAAGCUUUGAUAGCCUCCGCAAACUCAUGAACAGAAGCAUCAAUUGUGCUUGUAGUUUUUGAAGUAUCAUUAGAGUCCUCCAAAAAAUUGGUUAUUUCUUCUCUCUUGAGCUGAAGAUCCUGAAGCAAUUGUUCUAACUUUUCAAAAAGUUUAGCCUUUAAGCUGUCCACCGGAAAAUCCAACUGCUUAAGCAGCACUGCAGCCUCAGCCCUUGCUUGUAUGGAUUCAGUAUCUGAAAAAAGCUUCCCCUGCAAAUUUUUUAUAAUUGUGGCCAUAGCUUCUUCAGAUGCUCGCUUACAGUCCUGGAAUGAUGAAUCCCCAUAUGCCUUAAAAAUUGGCAUUGCUCCGGUAUAGAACCUGACUGCAUCAGCAUAUGCUUCUGAUUUAAUACACUUCCCAAGUCUAGCAGGUAGAUCAUAUAUAAACUGCUCUUUUCCACAUAAGAAGAAAUCUGUGUGACUCAUACAUUGCCAAAAACCAAUACUCAAAUUUUGGAGAAUGAGUAUCACAAUUUCUGUCCCAUUAAAAUUUGAAUUGUACAAAAUCUUCAAUUAUGAGACCCUAUAGAAACAUUACUGUCAAGAUUCAACUGGAAAGUGAGAACUAACAACUACCAACAAGCUUAGAGUUCCGACAACAGGACUAGCUGCACAUCACUUCCAAGACAACCGCUUUGACGACCCUUAAAAAAAGGGUUGACUAAAUAACAUGAAAGAACAUAUGCACAUAUAGUGUUGAUUCAUCGUUCUAUAAAAUCAAACCCUCUAAAGAGAAUAUUCAGUUUCAGUUCAGUAUUUUCUCAAGCAUUUGUUUGCAAAGGUCACAAAGAGCAUGUAACUGGUAUAUAAUAAACCAUGAAAAGGGACGCCAGUAAUCUGUGUACCUGAACUUUACGAAGAAGGUUACGUGUGCGAUGCAAUUUCUCUAUAUGUUCCCUCUUUUCAAAAAGAGAUGUGUUUACACCAUCACUUCUUGAUUGCACAGACAUUAUUUUCUCAAGGAGCUGCUCCAUAUUUGCUUCCAUGCCCACAAUAUUAUUGUUCAUCCUCUUGAUCGUGUCAGUAGCGCUGAUGAACUUGUUGUAAUUUUCAUACACUAACAUUUGCAAAUCAGUGUCAAGAUUCUUUAUCUCGGCUGCCAUUUCAACAUGCUUCUGCAGAAGCCCUUCCAAGUUUGAUUUUUGCACCAAGAGAUUCAUGUACUGAUCAGCGUCGAAGGAUGUGGUGUUGAUGGCAUCUAAGGAAGCGAAUUUCGAAGAAUUGCUGGAUGACAUUGCAGGAUCCGGAGAGUAAAAGCUUGAUAGCAGAUCUCUCAUUCUCUUCGCCUUGUCAUCCAGAGGUACAUCAUCAACCCCCAUUUUCACUUAUCUUUGCUUAGCUUUCACUCCUUUCACAAAAGAUUCGUAGGCGAACAAACUGAUUCUACAGUUCAAAUAUUUGGCACAGAAGGAAUCAGAAAUUGCAAUUAUGGAUUGCCGGAGCAUGAAGCAACAGCAGCUUUAAGGCUUAUUGAGAACCCAGUUUAACUGAUUCCAGUGAAAAACGUUAGAAGUUGGCGGAGUCGCGUUGAACCGUGAGCCUCUGCCUUGUACCACGCAGAUGGGCUGAUUUGUCUGAAAAUCCAACACCG
Molecule: unclassified non-coding RNA, 4862 nt
Filed under: Hevea brasiliensis (rubber tree)
Lineage: Eukaryota; Viridiplantae; Streptophyta; Magnoliopsida; Malpighiales; Euphorbiaceae
Source: RNAcentral